Molecule: non-coding RNA, 4790 nt
Organism: Podarcis lilfordi (Lilford's wall lizard)
Lineage: Eukaryota; Metazoa; Chordata; Lepidosauria; Squamata; Lacertidae
Source: the annotation of a GenBank genome assembly
ACCACACAAGCUUCCAGAUUCUUGCAAACCCCUCCCCAACACCAAGUCCUUGAAUUCCAAACACCCCAACCCAAAAUCCAAAAACCCCCAAAAAGUUUUAAAAGUUUAAAAGAAGUUUUGGAAAAGCUUCAAAAAUCACCAAAGUCUUCAAAAACCUCAAAAAAGGCUACCACACCGCGUUCUAUGAGUUGCUCCUCGAAGUCAAGUCGCAACUGUAUUAAUGGUGUUAAGAAAAAGGAAACAAACUUGCAAGACGUUUUCGUUUUUCGUCUUGCGAAGCAAGCCCAUAGGGAAAUUCAUCUUGCGAAGCAGCUCAAAAAACGGAAAACCCUUUCGUCUAGCGAGUUUUUCGUCUUGCGAGGCAUUUGUCUUGCGGGGCACCACUGUAAAUGACUUCUUCACAGGUUAGCUCAUAGGCUCAUAGAGUUGGAAGGGACCACGGGGGUCAUCUAAUCCAACCCCCUGCAAUGGAGAGUUGUCUCUUACUGCACAGCCUGGGCUCACAUGCUGCUGUAGACUCCCGUCUCCAUCACACCUUUGGCUGUGGAGUUGCAGCUGGAUGACUUCUACAUGGGGACAGAAAGCUGCUGUUCUCCUUAUGCUCUUCUGGGCAGGUGUGUAUGUGUGUGUUUGUUUUUAUUCACAACCCCUCUUCUCCCAAAUUCCUUUUCUGCUCUCAUAUCUUCAGUUUGGAAUCUCUCUGGUGGAUUCUCCUCUGAAAAGCUCUAAUGCAAUCUCUUUGGAGAAAUCCUUUGUUGCCUAUAGCAGCGGUUAAGAUCUCCACCCCCUAAAAAUGAUUGUGCUCCAGGCAUCCUACAGAGAGUUCCACUGCACAGAAUUACACCAGUAUUUCUGAAUUUACAGCCUCUGCUGUAAAACAUUUUCAGCAGUAGAGUGUGAAAGUCCUCUUAGACCUUUAUUUGACUAUGCAGUCUGAUUCUAUAUAAGGCCUUUCCUGUUAUACCUUCCUAUAGAACUUGUUUAUGCAGGUGUUCUAUACAUAAAUACAGCUUAAAUAACCUACAAAGUGGUCCACCUAAAGCUGGAAUUCUCACUUGCAGACAUCUUCCAGCAGAUGACUUUUCUGGUGGGAAGAUACAAAACUUUAUAAUGAGGAAACCAGCUCAUUUCAUAGGGUUAUCCAUGAAAGAAAUCUCUCCCAUUUUUGUGUCCAAAAAACUGUCACACCAACCAUGGUAAUGUUAAGAACAGUAUUUCUUAUUCCUACAGAAAUGUUAACUUGGUACAUACUUUGCUUUCACUUUGUCUUUUAGACUGUAAUCCUGUAUCUUCUUACCUAAGAAUAAGCACCGUUGAGUUCAUGGGUACUUACUUUGAACAGACAGUGAUAUGACUCUCUUAAAGUUUUCAGGAAUUAAGUUAAAACAAUAACACUUGAACUGGUGUGACUUUCUGGCACACAACUUCCACCCCGUCACACCAGCUGCCUCUAUUGCGGUAGCAACAGCUUCUGUCUUCCAAUGUGAUGCAAACUGCUACCUAAUGCUAACUUUACAAACAUACAAUUGAGUUAGGUUAUAAAAAAAACUACUUUGUAAUUUUAAACCUGAAAAUUCCAGUAACUCCUUCAACUCUCAAGCAAGUUCCUUUUAAGUCUGUUUAAUAGGAGAAUGCACAAAAAAUUAUUUGUGCAUAUAUUUCAAUAGAGGGUUGUCCUCUGUACGAAAGAAGUUAUAUUCCUUGUUUUUUUCCAUUAUCGUAUGAAAUAUACUCAUAGAGUCCUGCAGUGAUUUCAUGCUCUUUAUUGCAGCUUGUAAAACAGUGACUGAAUUUCCCCCCAAACCUCAGGCUUUUUUAUACAUUAUUUACACAAUGAGUCCUGUCUGAUUGGCUGAUUCUGCUUCCCUCCUGGAGCCUGAUUGGGCUGCUACUGCAGGCCAAUCAGUUGUUGCAUUCUACGAUCCUACUUACCUGUUGUUCUAGGAUCCAAGCUUAGUACAGUGGUACCUCGGGUUAAGUACUUAAUUCGUUCCAGAGGUCCGUUCUAAACCUGAAACUGUUCUUAACCUGAAGCACCACUUUAGCUAAUGGGGCCUCCUGCUGCCGCUGCACCACCGGAGCACGAUUUCUGUUCUCAUCCUGAAGCAAAGUUCUUAACCUGAGGUAAUAUUUCUGGGUUAGCGGAGUCUGUAACCUGAAGCGUAUGUAACCUGAAGCGUAUGUAACCCAAGGUACCACUGUACAUAACAUCAUACAUUGGGUUCUUUUUGUGUACUGUAUUCCAAAACUGCCUUCUGAUUUAACAUGGGGAGUGUCUAAGUGUCUGGAGCUGACACAUUAAGAUUUUACAGCUUUUUUUCAUCCAUUCAAUCUUGUCCCUCUUUUCGUAACCAAGGGGACGAAACUGCACAUGCACCAGGGGCCUGUCCAAAGUGGAUAACAAGCUCAGCAGGUUAUUGACUUUUGUUCUUAUAAAAAUACAGAGUCAUUUUGAAUUCCCAAAUCUGGGAAGCAUAGGAAUAAUGUAAUAAACAUAGGGAUAAUGUAAUAAGCAUUCCAAUCUGAGUUGAGUUUUAAGAUGUGAGUGAAUAACCAGUGUUUUAGCCAUGUGCACAGUGAGCUCUGUUCUGUUGCUGAUUUCCUCCCCUUUGCCAUUUAGUUUUGUCUGUCUCACUACGCAAUUGUCAUGCUGAAGUUUAGACUGCAUUAAUCAUUGUCACGUGUUGUACCACUGGGGCACUUGCACAACUGCAUUGCCAUGACAAAUGCAGGAAGAGGAUUAGCAAAACACUCUACCUGUGGUUUGCAUUGUGCUUCUGAAAUGUUAAGUGCUGGUUGUAGUGUGCUGCCAGGAGCUUCUAGAUGGGGAUCAGUUGCUGAAAAAUAAGAAAAGCCCACAUUUGUUGACUUCUAACACUUCACUUUCAUUUAUAGGGCCAUUUGAGUUUUCCAUGUUUGGGGAGGGGCAUUUUACACACAUAGAUACCCACAGUGAAUGUUAUGUGGAAGAAACCAUCACGUCUGCACACUGGUGGUCUGUUAAUUUUUAGCCAUCCCUCCACGAACUUCUAAGGGAAGAGUACUGGUGAGUUUGAUGAAGUCAUUUCCCCAAAUGGAGGAAAAACAAACAAACAGAAAUGUACUGAAUGUGUUUAGAUUUCAGUUUAAGGCUGACUUAAUUUUCUUUUGACAAAGAAAAGCACUUUCUUGAAUGAAAUAGAUACUGUGUGUAUUUACCUGAGGCUUGUAGAAAUAGCUUAUAUGACUGGGCUGGCUCCGUAAACCCCAAGAUGUCUGGCUCAGCAAACUUUAAAUAUGAAGAGGUCUGCAAAUGUGGGACAGCAGCUUAGGCUAGGCCAUCCAGCUAUCUUGGCCUGCAAAAACAGAAAGAGAGAAGCAUUUUUUUUUCCUGGGAUGGAAAGAAGUGCCAUAGAAAGUGAUUUACUUUCUUUAGGAUUUAGAGAAAGCUCGUCCCUUUGAAACUCAUCGAUAUUUAAAUCCUAGUCCAAAACAGAUUGUGUAAACAAGAAGCAAUAUAAAAAGUGUUCAGCUAAAAUUUGGCUUCAGGAUGUCUGUUGUCCAUGCACUUCUGAAGCAUCUGGGACUUUAGAACUUGUCUUUAAAAUAUCUUUCACGUAAUGAUGGUACCUAUUCUGCACUUUCGCUAUGACUGUUUAAGUAGUUUCUUUUUAAACACUUUUUCUAAUUGCAUGGAUAAGUGACCUUGCUUGUGGAGCAUGCUAUAUGUUGACAGAGUGCAUUACUUCAUUUUGCCUCGUUGGCAACUUGAGAUCUUAAGAAAACAAUACUGAGGUUACUCUCAUUCUGCUAUCCUUGGAAUGUUGCUUGGAUUUUAAUUUAACUCUGUCGCUGCAUGAUACCCACACGGAGAGUUGCUUUUUCAAAGGCAGUAGAAAUAAAACGCCUGAAAUCAGGAAAGCAAAACUACCGCCAUUUUUUACUUUCCCCACCAGUAAGAGGUCUUGUAGCACUUAUGUUUUUGCAUUACCAAUUACAUAUUUUAGGACCACUAGAAGAAUAAAUGAGAAAGUAAAUGGCCUCCCUUCCUUGCAACAUCUUGCAGCUGUUCUGCAGAGCAGCUUCAGUGACUGAAUGUAAGCUUCAUUUAAUUUUUCUUUUAAAGGCACAGCUCUCAGAAUUCAGUCUGGCAAUCUAUCUGUGUUCUGGCUUUGCUUGAGUACUCAAAUUAUUAUUCCCAAAACUUUCCCUUGAGACUAUUAUUCAGAGGAAGAGGGCAGGGGAAGCGAAGGAAUCAAAGCCAGUGGGAGCUAGAUUCUUGCUCAUGCUUAUCUGUGGCCAGUGUGCCAAGAUUUUUAACUCUUCGCAGUUUAUAUUUAGUUCUAUAAGCUCAUUUGCCAACAGUGAUGACUGUAGUCAAAAAGUCAUGUUUUCCCAUUGUAUGCAGUAAAAUAGUUUCUUUGAACACUAGGUCACUGAAGUACUGUAACUUUGACACAAUUCAGAUUAACUACUUUUCAUUGCAACCCCUAUGCAUGUAUGUCUACUGAAAAGCAAGUCCCAUUCAAUUCAACUGGACUUUCUCCCAGGGAAGUAGGUAUAGGUUUACAAUUAUUCUAACUUUGACUUGUACAGAGGAUGUUCCUGGUAGAUUACGCAAGCUUUGAAUAAUUAAGAUAAUGUGAAGGCCGCUGCACAGAGUUUGGAGUUCUGUUGACAAUGAGAUCAUGUUUAAGGAUUGGGACAAGAAAUGACACUUAACUUGUUUUUUUUUUAAAAAUAAUAUUUAUUAUUUUCCCAAAAACUUAAACACUAAAAAGACAAUACAAUACAAUACAUUAAACUAACAG